UUUCUUUUCCGGUGUUGCUUCUUCGGGUUGGUUCCAAUAACAUCGUGUUUGUGAGGAUCCGUUGGCUAUGUCCGUUUUUCUUCUUCAUGAACUCGUUCUUCUUCCUUGCGGGAUUUCAGGCAAGAUGACCAUACCCUCAAAAUCACUUCUAUCUUUGCUUGCUAGUUGCUCGCUCUUUUGCUAUGCCUAUGCCGCGAUACCUACCACUUGUUUUUCAUGCCUCCCAUAUUGUUGAGCCAAGCCUCUAACCCACCUUAUCCUAGCAAACCAUUGUUUGGCUAUGUUACCGCUUUGCUCAGCCCCUCUUAUAGCGUUGUUAGUUGCAGGUGAAGAUUGGAGCUUGUUCCAUGUUGGAACAUGGUUAUUUUGUUGGAAUAUCACAAUAUCUCUUAUUUAAUUAAUGCACCUAUAUACUUGGUAAAGGGUGGAAGGCUCGGCCUUAUGCCUGGUGUUUUAUUCCACUCUUGCCGCCCUAAUUUCCGUCAUAUCGGUGUUAUGUUCCCGGAUUUUACGUUCCUUACGCGGUUGGGUUAUAGUGGGAACCCCUUGACAGUUCGCUUUGAAUAAAACUCCUCCAGCAAUGCCCAACCUUGGUUUUACCAUUUGCACUAACAACCUACCACCUUCCCUUGGGUUCUGCAGACUCAAGGGUCAUCUUUAUUUUAACCCCCCGGGCCAGUGCUUCUCUAAGUGUUGGUCCGAACCGAGCUGCCUACGGGGCCACCUCGGGGAAACUUGAGGGUUGGUUUUACUCGUAGCUAGUCUCAUCUGAGUGUGCCCUGAGAACGAGAUAUGUGCAGCUCCUAUCGGUAUUUGUCGGCACAUUCGGGCGGUGUUGCUGGACUUGUUUUACCAUUGUCGAGAUGUCUUGUAACCGGGAUUCCGAGCCUGAUCGGGUCUUCCCGCUAGAAGGAAUAUCCUUUGUUGACCAUGAGAGCUUGUGAUGGGCUAAGUUGGGAGUCCCCUGCAGGGAUUUGAACUUUCGAAAGUCGUGCCCGCGGUUAUGGGCAGAUGGGAAUUUGUUAAUGUCCGGUUGUAGAAAACCUGAAGUUGAUCUUAACUAAAAUACAUCAACCGCGUGUGUAACCGUGAUGGUCUCUUCUCGGCGGAGUCCGGGAAGUGAACACGGUGUUGGAGUAAUGUUUGAUGUAGGUUGUUUUAGGAUCACUUCUUGAUCAUAGUUGUUCGAUCGUGCUUUUGCCUUCUCUUCUCGCUCUCAUUUGCGUAUGUUAGCCACCAUAUAUGCUAGUCGCUUGCUGCAGCUCUACCUCAUACCUUUUACCCUUCCUAUAAGCUUAAAUAGUCUUGAUCGCGAGGUUGUGAGAUUGUUGAGUCCCCGUGACUCAUAGAUACUUCCAAAACCAGUUUGCAGGUGCCGUUGAACCGUGCAGGUGACGCAACCAAGCUCAAGGAGGAGCUCGUUGAAGAUCUUGUCCUUUGUGUUGUUUCGUUCUAGUCGAUCAGUAGUGGAGCCCAGUUGGGACGAUCGGGGAUCUGUGUAGCAUUUGGGGUAGUCUUCUUUCAUUUUGGUUCCGUAGUCGGACCCUGAUUGUAUCUGGAUGAUGUAAUGCUUUAUUCUUGUAAUUGUGUG
RNAcentral lists this long non-coding RNA (1591 nucleotides) under Triticum aestivum (bread wheat). RNAcentral's name for it is "long non-coding RNA (TAES_LNC020034)". Lineage: Eukaryota; Viridiplantae; Streptophyta; Magnoliopsida; Poales; Poaceae. The record is from RNAcentral.